Molecule: ribosomal RNA, 445 nt
Filed under: uncultured bacterium
Lineage: Bacteria
Description: bacterial SSU rRNA
Rfam family: Bacterial small subunit ribosomal RNA
Source: RNAcentral
GUAAGGAAUAUUGGACAAUGGGCGCAAGCCUGAUCCAGCCAUGCCGCGUGCAGGAUGAAGGUGCUCUGCAUUGUAAACUGCUUUUAUUCGGGAAUAAACCCCUCUACGUGUAGAGGGUUGAAUGUACCGAAAGAAUAAGGGACGGCUAACUUCGUGCCAGCAGCCGCGGUAAUACGAAGGUCCCAAGCGUUAUCCGGAUUUAUUGGGUUUAAAGGGUGCGUAGGCGGGUUGUUAAGUCAGUGGUGAAAUCUUACAGCUUAACUGUAAAAUUGCCAUUGAUACUGACGAUCUUGAGUAUGGUUGAGGUGGGCGGAAUGUGUCAUGUAGCGGUGAAAUGCUUAGAUAUGACACAGAACACCGAUUGCGAAGGCAGCUCACUAAGCCAACACUGACGCUGAUGCACGAAAGCGUGGGGAGCAAACAGGAUUAGAUACCCCUGUAGUCC